Long non-coding RNA from Cryptomeria japonica (Japanese cedar), 429 nucleotides. RefSeq lists it as uncharacterized. The transcript has 2 exons. The record is from RefSeq and is a predicted model, not a curated record. NCBI's taxonomy places the organism in Eukaryota, Viridiplantae, Streptophyta, Pinopsida, Cupressales, Cupressaceae.
UUCACAAUCUUCUCAAGUGCCAUUCACAGCCAAUCUUCCUGUAGAGAAAGAAACGCAGUUGUUUGUUGUGGGGUAAAAAUGGCACUGAACAGAGGUUGUAAUAUCAUGCUGGUGGUUCUGAUCAUUGCAGUUGUUCUUCCAAAUAUUUGUUCUGCUGAUUCACAUAGCCCUGCUCCUGCCCCUGCCAACCAUGGAGUGGUGAUUAGCCAGGGUAUUGAAGGAUAUAUCAUUAUGAUGAUGGCCCUGCUAUUUGGGUAUCUUUUCAAUGGUGUGUUUUGAACAGGCUAUGGCUAUGCUUACUCUAUGAAUAAAUCUGUAUAUUGAGAUAUUGAUUACUGUACUUUCUUUCUGUUCUCACACAUUUUAUGUGAAGCAGUUGGCAUCAAUUAAGAUUUACUCUGAUAAAUGUGGUAUCACUGUCAUUUCUCA